Molecule: ribosomal RNA, 492 nt
Filed under: uncultured bacterium
Lineage: Bacteria
Description: partial 16S ribosomal RNA
Rfam family: Bacterial small subunit ribosomal RNA
Source: RNAcentral
AGUGAACGCUGGCGGUAGGCCUAACACAUGCAAGUCGAACGGCAGCACAGUAAGAGCUUGCUCUUACGGGUGGCGAGUGGCGGACGGGUGAGGAAUACAUCGGAAUCUACUUUUUCGUGGGGGAUAACGUAGGGAAACUUACGCUACUACCGCAUACGACCUACGGGUGAAAGCAGGGGAUCUUCGGACCUUUCGCGAUUCAAUUAGCCGAUGUCGGAUUAGCUAGUUGGCGGGGUAAAGGCCCACCAAGGCGACGAUCCGUAGCUGGUCUGAGAGGAUGAUCAGCCACACUGGAACUGAGACACGGUCCAGACUCCUACGGGAGGCAGCAGUGGGGAAUAUUGGACAAUGGGCGCAAGCCUGAUCCAGCCAUACCGCGUGGGUGAAGAAGGUCUUCGGGUUGUAAAGCCCUUUUGUUGGGAAAGAAAAGCAGCAGGUUAAUCCCCCGCUGUUCUGACGGUACCCAAAGAAUAAGCACCGGCUAACUUCGUG